GACGGAGGAUGCAAGCGUUAUCCGGAAUGAUUGGGCGUAAAGCGUCCGCAGGUGGCCGUUCAAGUCUGCUGUCAAAGACCGGGGCUUAACUUCGGAAAGGCAGUGGAAACUGAACAGCUAGAGUAUGGUAGGGGCAGAGGGAAUUCCUGGUGUAGCGGUGAAAUGCGUAGAUAUCUGGAGGAACACCGGUGGCGAAGGCGGCAUCCUGGACCAACACUGACGCUGAGGAGCGAAAGCCAGGGGAGCAAACGGG
RNAcentral lists this ribosomal RNA (253 nucleotides) under uncultured bacterium. Its description in RNAcentral is "partial 16S ribosomal RNA". It matches the Rfam family "Bacterial small subunit ribosomal RNA", at positions 524 to 776 of the family's 1533-position model. The record is from RNAcentral.